This 1148-nucleotide long non-coding RNA is filed under the name Mus spicilegus (steppe mouse). Its description in RNAcentral is "lncRNA (ENSMSIG00000005265.1)". The record is from RNAcentral. Lineage: Eukaryota; Metazoa; Chordata; Mammalia; Rodentia; Muridae.
AUGACCAGUCGAUCAGUGUGUGUAAAGACUAGCAACUACAGCUUCCUUCUUUCCCAGAUGUUUCCAGCCUAUGACAGAGAAGAAGCCAGGCCUGGAUGGCAGUCAGAAACAGGAGGCCAAGAGGAGAGGGAGGUCCAGAAGCUAAGCCAGGAGAGGAUUUCAAAGACAGAGAAAGGCACCAUUAAGUUGAAAAUAAGAUCCAGAACUCGAGUGAACAUACGCCAGCUCCUGAGAGGAGAAGAAAGUUGACUUUGGGUUAGGAGCUGCCCCCAGGCCUUGGUCACCCUCAUCUCCAACCUGGAUUGAAAUAUGUAUCAGCUGUUUAAUACCCACAACUUGAGUCUGUCUGAGAAGUCUGUCUGAAAAGGGCGUCAGCGGGGCUUGGCAUCCUCAGGAGGCUUGGUACUGGCACACACAGGGACCGCAGGGCAUAACAUCUGUGCACUGGGCCAGUCACUUCUUUGUGUCUCUAUUUUCCAGGUGAGCAAACAGAGAGCAGGAUAGGGCAGGCGCACCUGAGAGCUGUAAGGAGCCCCACUGGUAUCGCCAUAGCCAGCCCUGUGGCCGGCCUGCUAUGCUUAAAGGUGUCCUCACUUAUGUGGUUGCCAGAACUCCUGUUCUUCACCUUGGGUUGGAAUUGGGGGAAGGAGGGGACAUAGAAGGCUGCAGUGGGGAGGGAUUUUGCACUUCCUCCAGGCCACAGCAGAAUACAGAGGCAGAGAUGAGGGACUAAGAGGCAAGGCUACAACUCCGCUCACUGAGGAUGACAGGCAAACAUUUGGACCCCUGUAUCGGCUGGUUCUUGUGUCAACUGGACACGAGCUGGAGUUAUCACAGAGAAAGGAGCCUCCCUUGAGGAAAGGCCUCCAUGAGAUCCAGCUGUAAGGCAUUUUCUCAAUUAGUGAUCAGAGUGGGAGGGCCCAUGGUGGGUGGUGCCAUCCCUGGGCUGGAAGUCUUGGGUUCUAUAAGAGAGCAAGCUGAGCAAGCCAGGAGAAGCAAGCCAGUAAUUAACAUCCCUCCAUGGGCUCUGUAUCAACUCCUGCUUCCUGAUCUGUUUGAGUUCCUGUCCUGACUUCCUUUGGUGAUGAACAGCAAUGUAGAAGUGUAAGCUGAAUAAACCCUUUCCUCCCCAACUUGCUUCUUGGUCA